CCUGCUUCUACCAACAAACAGGGAUGGAAGUGAACAUAACCAACUCCAAGCCUUGGCAUGAUGAAGAAAUCAUGUUACAGGUGCUCCAGCCCUGGAGCAGCCAUGGAGUCAGCACCUUUGAGUGGCUGGUUUCUCUGUGUCUCAGAGGUGGCAGCCCUUGAAGUUGACAGAAAAGACUUCACCUUGCAGGAUAAGGGGUAACCUGAAAUAUGUCAUAAAUGCCAGUAGCAAAGAUGAAAUGCUUGGCAUUACCUCAAGAUCUUGCAGAGAGAAAUAUGUUUUCAACAGUGACAGGUGUAAAACAAUCAGCUUGAGAGGUUCCUGUGAUGUCUUCUUCAAAGUAAAUCCAGCAAAACAAAUUCCUCUGAAAGAUUUCCAUGAAGCCUCCCCACAAGCAACAGUAAACAACACCUUUCACAGAACUUCAGGUAGCUGCUAAAGUACAAGUGUGGAAUUACUGAAUGGGA
Molecule: long non-coding RNA, 467 nt
Organism: Malaclemys terrapin pileata
Lineage: Eukaryota; Metazoa; Chordata; Testudines; Emydidae
Exons: 3
Source: RefSeq, a predicted model, not a curated record